RNAcentral lists this ribosomal RNA (433 nucleotides) under uncultured bacterium. RNAcentral's name for it is "partial 16S ribosomal RNA". It matches the Rfam family "Bacterial small subunit ribosomal RNA", at positions 29 to 507 of the family's 1533-position model. The record is from RNAcentral.
AACGAACGCUGGCGGCAUGCCUAACACAUGCAAGUCGAACGAGACCUUCGGGUCUAGUGGCGCACGGGUGCGUAACGCGUGGGAACCUGCCCUUAGGUUCGGAAUAACUCCCCGAAAGGGGUGCUAAUACCGGAUAAUGUCUUCGGACCAAAGAUUUAUCGCGUUUGGAUGGGCCCGCGUUGGAUUAGCUAGUUGGUAGGGUAAAAGCCUACCAAGGCGACGAUCCAUAGCUGGUCUGAGAGGAUGAUCAGCCACACUGGGACUGAGACACGGCCCAGACUCCGACGGGAGGCAGCAGUGGGGAAUAUUGGACAAUGGGCGAAAGCCUGAUCCAGCAAGGCCGCGUGAGUGAUGAAGGCCUUAGGGUUGUAAAGCUCUUUUACCCGGGAUGAUAAUGACAGUACCGGGAGAAUAAGCUCCGGCUAACUCCGUG